AAUAGAAUGCCUGAUUCAAAAGGAUUAUCUUGAUAGGAUAAAUAAUGCAAUUAAUUGCUUCUAUUA
RNAcentral lists this transfer RNA (66 nucleotides) under Curculionoidea sp. 2 KM-2017. RNAcentral's name for it is "tRNA-Ile". The record is from RNAcentral. Lineage: Eukaryota; Metazoa; Arthropoda; Insecta; Coleoptera.